GCCACUGUAGUUCAAUGGAUAGAACAAGACACUCCUAAGGUCUAGAUACAGGUCCGAUUCCUGUCAGUGGCA
RNAcentral lists this transfer RNA (72 nucleotides) under bacterium. RNAcentral describes it as "tRNA-Arg". It matches the Rfam family "tRNA". Rfam says of the family: Transfer RNA (tRNA) molecules are approximately 80 nucleotides in length. Their secondary structure includes four short double-helical elements and three loops (D, anti-codon, and T loops). The record is from RNAcentral.